Molecule: long non-coding RNA, 3144 nt
Filed under: Homo sapiens (human)
Lineage: Eukaryota; Metazoa; Chordata; Mammalia; Primates; Hominidae
Description: HSALNT0323067
Source: RNAcentral
GAAGUUUCUCCACUGAGACCAACGAUGGAGGAAAGCACUGAAAGUUUGCAGAGACGAGACAAGGGAAGGCGUCCAUUGAGGACAGCGGGAAAAGGAGUAGACUGGGGGAAGCACAGUGGGACCACCAGGCCACUUUAUGGGAUGUUUGAGGUUCACACGCAUCAAGCAUUUCACCAACCCCAUUUAGCUGCUCUGGUGCAGCAGGGAAUAGGUGGAAACUUGGAUUAAUUAGCACUGUGACUUGCCAAGUGAGAUAAAAGCAAGAGAGUUAAGGAUGACUGCAUGGGAGUGACUGUAAUGACAGUGGAAUUUAAACUAGAUAAGGAGCAAAAAGGAAACGAAGAAGACGAAAGUGAGUGCAAAGCAAGUAGAAUCACAGGAAUGGUCUUUUCAGUAGGUUUUGAGGAUUUCUGAAGUCCGAGACAUAAAGGGAAUGUGCAGGAAGGAAAGGAGAUGGUCAUAAACGAAGUAAAGGAAAUUGAAAUAAGAGGGCUGUGUUUUUUAGUAAUGGCAAAUUAGGGUAGUUGAGACAGGUGGAAGACAAAAUCUUUUUUUUUUUCCUUUUUUUGGAGACGGAGUCUCAUUUUGUCAUCCAAGCUGGAGUGCAGAGGCGUGAUCUAGGCUCACUGCAACCUCUCGGAUUCAAGGGAUUUUCCUGUCUCAGCCUCUCAGAAGAGAACAUCUUCAUAGGAGAGGAGCUCUAGGAACUGAGAAUGCAGGAAAUUGGAAGAAAUAUACAUUAAUAGCCAAGAAUUUAGACAGGACUGGGGAGCCAGGAACAAACAUUUGAGAUGUUGGGCUUUUAAUGGAGUUGCCACGGAUGACAGCAUCAUGAGAAAUGAGGUUUAAAAAUGGAGGAUUGUUCGAGGAGGGAGGAGGGCUGAUCUGAAAGCCACAAGGAGGACAAAUGGAACACCUACCCCCACUACAGGCUGGAAGUUUCCCUCUGUCGCCAGGGCUGGAGUGCAGUGACAUGAUCUCAGCUCACUGCAAGCUCCGCCUCCCAGGUUCACGCCAUUCUCCUGCCUUAGCCUCCCGAGUAGCUGGGACUACAGGUGCCUGCCACCACGCCCGGCUAAUUUUUUUGUAUUUUUAUUAGGGAUGGGGUUUCACCAUGUUAGCCAGGAUGGUCUUGAUCUCCUGACCUCGUGAUCCACCCGCCUCAGCCUCCCAAAAUGCUGGGAUUACAGGUGUGAGCCACCGCACCUGGCCUCAAUGUUCUUCCAUUUUUUAUGAAGUAGUAUAACAAUACAACUAUGAGUUCUUACUAAAAAGCCAUUAGAAGAAUUAAAAUAGAAUACAAAAAUAUUUGGUUAGCUAAAAGUGGCAGAAGAGGAAGAACACAGGACUAAAAAACAAAUAGGACAAAUAGAACACAAUAGCAAAACAGUAAACCUAAAUCAAACCAAUGAUUAUGUUAAACGCAAAUAGAAUAUACAUUACAAUUAAAAGGCCAGAUUGUCAGACUGUAUAUAAAGCAAAACCAAAUGGUGAGCUUUGUUUAGAAGGAAACAAGUAGCUUAAAAGAAAGGAACGGAAAAAUAUAUGCCAUGGAAUACUAAGUAUCAGAAAGCUAAAAUAGCUCUAUUAUUAUCAGAAAAAUCAAGAAAGAAAUUUCACAGUGAUAAUGGGGUAAUUUUUGAGGGAGACAUAUCCAUUAUAGAUGAGUAUGCACCUAACAACAGAGCUUCAAAAUACGAAAGCAAAAUGGUUAAGAUAUAGGGAGGAAUUAAAAAAUCCAAACAUGUAUUUGAAUAUCUUACAGUCCUUUUUAGUAAUGAUAGAAAAUUAGACCAAGAAUUCAGUAGCAAAUCAGUGCAGGAAUAAGAUAUCUACACAAUUCUACUAACUAUCUUGGCUUAACGGAAAAUAAUAAAUUGUAAUCUAUUGAAUAAAAUAAAAAUCUGAAUUUAUAUUAUAUGCAAAUUAAAAAGAUUAACAAGAGAUAGGAUAUUUACACAGUCUUAAAAUAGCUCCCUACAAAUUGCUUAUUAAUUAUAUAGGGGUAGAUAGUUAAUUUAUGGUUGACGAUUCUGGUGGGUGACAUCACCUUAAUGAAGAGAUCAAUGUUCACUUCACUGUAUCAGGACAAACUGAUACCAAGUGCUUGCUGACAUGAUGCAGUGAAAGGAAUACAAUGUCAUUUUCUGAAUCAAAUCAUAAGGAAUCAUCAGAAAAAAAAACACAAUGAGAAAUAUUCUUUAAAGUAGCUGAUCUACACUUUUGAAAACUGUCAACACAAAGACAGCAAAGAAAAUCUGUGAAACUAUCUUAGAGUAAAGGAGUCUGAAGAGACAUGAGCAUGACAUGCAGUGUGAUCCUGGAUUGGAUCCUAAACUGUGGAAAAUAGCUCUGUAAGGCAUUAUAAGACAAUUGAUAAAUUUGAAAUAUGAUCUGCGGUUUUAUACUAUUGUUUCUGUGUUUCAUUUCCCAAUUUGGUUAAUUUGUAUCUGAUCAUAUAAAGAGAAUGUCCAUGUCUUAGGAAAUAUUGUUAAUAAUUUCAUCUUCUCUCUUUGAACUCCAAACCCCUAAAAUAACUGAUAUUUAUACUUUGGUAUUUAUCAUUCCACAUAUGUUACUGGGUCAAUGCAAAAACACAUUGGCAUACAUAUACAUAUAUUUUUUUUUAAUAAAAGUGGCACUAUACAAUACACAUCUGUUGGAAAUUAUCUUUUUCUUUUUUACCUUUAAAAGAUAUAUUGGGCAUCACUUCAGAUAAAAAAAUAUAAAUCUUUAUUUUUAAUCAUAGUAUAAUAUUACAUAGGCUGAAUAAACCUUAAUUUAUUCAAGCGGUGCAUUCUUAAUGGAAUUCAGUUUGUUUUCUAGAUUUUUGCUAUUAUAAACAAUACUGUAAUAAACUUCUUGUGUUCAAGUGAUUUUGAUUCUUUAGGGGACAUUUCCCAAAGUCUAUUUGGUUGAUAUACAUAUUUUAAAAUUGUCUGUGUACUCAUUUUUAAUUUUAUAAUUAAACUUUGGCAAAAAUAUGUGUUACAAAUAGUGAAUUUUCUGCAAUUAUUAAUUUAAUAAAACAAUGACAAUCAAGAAUUAACUUUGUAUACUGAACAUAUUCUAAAUAUCCCUAGCAUCAAAACCCUAUAAUUAGCUAAAUAAUAUCUAAUUUUCCGAAGAGAAAAACAGAACAAG